AUCGUUGUAGUAUAGUGGUGAGUAUUCCCGCCUGUCACGCAGGUGACCCGGGUUCAACCCCCGGCAACGGUG
Molecule: transfer RNA, 72 nt
Filed under: Gossypium hirsutum (cotton)
Lineage: Eukaryota; Viridiplantae; Streptophyta; Magnoliopsida; Malvales; Malvaceae
Rfam family: tRNA
About the family: Transfer RNA (tRNA) molecules are approximately 80 nucleotides in length. Their secondary structure includes four short double-helical elements and three loops (D, anti-codon, and T loops).
Source: Rfam by way of RNAcentral